CUACGGGCCGCACCAGUGGGGAAUUUUGCGCAAUGGGGGGAACCCUGACGCAGCAAUACCGCGUGAGUGAAGAAGGCCUUUGGGUCGUAAAGCUCUUUUCUGAAGGAAGAUAGUGACGGUACUUCAGGAAUAAGCACCGGCUAACUCCGUGCCAGCAGCCGCGGUAAUACGGAGGGUGCGAGCGUUGUUCGGAUUUACUGGGCGUAAAGGGCACGUAGGCGGCCUGGCAAGUUAAGGGUGAAAUCCCGGGGCUUAACUCCGGAACUGCUCUUAAAACUGCCAAGCUAGAGAUAGUCAGAGGCGGGUGGAAUUCCUGGUGUAGAGGUGAAAUUCGUAGAUAUCAGGAGGAACACCGGUGGCGAAGGCGGCCCGCUGGGGCUAUUUUGACGCUAAGGUGCGAAAGCGUGGGGAGCGAACGGGAUUAGAUACCCGGGUAGUC
This 439-nucleotide ribosomal RNA is filed under the name uncultured bacterium. RNAcentral describes it as "partial 16S ribosomal RNA". It matches the Rfam family "Bacterial small subunit ribosomal RNA", at positions 339 to 795 of the family's 1533-position model. The record is from RNAcentral.